Long non-coding RNA from Rosa rugosa (rugosa rose), 821 nucleotides. RefSeq lists it as uncharacterized. The record is from RefSeq and is a predicted model, not a curated record. NCBI's taxonomy places the organism in Eukaryota, Viridiplantae, Streptophyta, Magnoliopsida, Rosales, Rosaceae. The transcript has 3 exons.
GUGUAAAUUUAUUAUGAUGUUAUUUGCUUUUCUAAAUAAUAGGUAAUUGCUGAGAAGAAUUCUGCAAAUCGAAAAGAACAAAAAUACAAUCACACCUCUGGCACCAAGAGUUAUGCACGCAGUCGAGCAGAAUAUCUCAAGAAGCAUGGUCAUGAGCCCGAUCCUAUUCAGUUUUUUUAUGAUAAGCAUACACGGAAUGACAAAGAAAAAACCUGGAUUGAUGAAGUUGCUGAGCGGACACAUGCUGGUAUGCAAGAGAAGUUGGCAGAAAUUGUAGCAGUUGAAGGUAAUGAGACUACAGAGAUGCGAGAAAGAGCAUAUGUUGCAGUGAUGGGACCUGAGAAACGUCAUAGAGUUCGCGGUUAUGGACUAGGUGUAAUAGCUAAUAUGGUGCCUUAUCUUCAAAUUGAUGGUAGCUCAUCAUCACACAGAUCAUAUGGAAGACAUUAUGCUCACUUGUAGUCACAAUUUAUAGAGUUAGAGUCCAAGUACCAACAACAACAAGAGCAAGCACAGGUGCAACAAGUUCAAACUCAGGAAUAACUCUUGCAAACCCAACAAGAAUUGGCAAUGUUAAAGCAAAUGAUACAAUCCCAGCAAUCUACUCCACCUUCACAACAAUCUUCUCAGCCUUUGCAGCAACAAUCCUUCUAGAUGCCUUCUUAUCCUCCUCAAAUGUACUGGCCUCAACCGCAAAUCUAUCCUCAAAUGCCUUAUCAGCCUCAACAUGCUUAUCCUACCACUGGACUAACUGGAUUGCUUAUGGGAGAUACAAGUGUCCAAGAAACUGAUUUGUUGAACCAGCUUAGAGCUUCAUCGAA